CUGACGGCUAAUUGAGACCCGCCGGGUUUAAGUGUGUGCCAGGUGACAGAGCUGUUACAGGUCAGGUGACCCUUUUUGGGUUUAAAGGGAUGGCGAGCCAACAAGCGGCUGUGAGCCAGAAUCUUCCUCCACAGAAGCUUCCCGCUGGUCUGGUAGGAAGUUGUCAAAGACGACGCUCUGUCCCCCUCCCUGAACUCAUUAUUCAGUUACACUGAUUUUCACAGCCUUGCACAUCAUUCCCCCCGUUUAUGGACAAUAGAGCUGGGACAUUUCUCAUGGACACUUGGAUAAAGUCAUGGAAAGAAUAUACUCCUGUGUGCACCAGUGUUUUUGAUAGUGAC
This is a long non-coding RNA of Oreochromis aureus, 341 nucleotides long. The record is from Ensembl. NCBI's taxonomy places the organism in Eukaryota, Metazoa, Chordata, Actinopteri, Cichliformes, Cichlidae.